GUUCUUGGCUAGAUGCAUGAAUCACCUUGUCAGGUUCUCUGGACAGUCCUUUGCAGGAGGUUCGCUUGCUGCAAGCCAGGAAAUGUGUAGCUCUCCAGGCACUCUCCCCGCCCCGCGGCUGUUUCUGGACAGGCUGUCAGCUCAUCAAGGGGACACGGCCUUGCUGUCAUGUUUAGUCCCUUGUGGCAUCCCAGUGACCCGCAUUGUCUUCUGCAAAGAUGGGAAGGAAAUUUCUGUCCAGCCCAAGGGAGGAAACACACUCGUCUAUGACUCACCCUACACAGUGUCCAGGGAGAGUGCAGGGGCCUUUUCCUGCCGCUAACAA
Molecule: long non-coding RNA, 325 nt
Organism: Mauremys reevesii (Reeves's turtle)
Lineage: Eukaryota; Metazoa; Chordata; Testudines; Geoemydidae
Exons: 3
Source: RefSeq, a predicted model, not a curated record